GGGUGUUAGCUCAGUUGGUUAGAGCGCUGGCCUGUCACGCCAGAGGUCGCGGGUUCGAGUCCCGUACAU
RNAcentral lists this transfer RNA (69 nucleotides) under human gut metagenome. It matches the Rfam family "tRNA", at positions 5 to 66 of the family's 71-position model. From Rfam's summary of the family: Transfer RNA (tRNA) molecules are approximately 80 nucleotides in length. Their secondary structure includes four short double-helical elements and three loops (D, anti-codon, and T loops). Further hydrogen bonds mediate the characteristic L-shaped molecular structure. tRNAs have two regions of fundamental functional importance: the anti-codon, which is responsible for specific mRNA codon recognition, and the 3' end, to which the tRNAs corresponding amino acid is attached (by aminoacyl-tRNA synthetases). tRNAs cope with the degeneracy of the genetic code in two manners: having more than one tRNA (with a specific anti-codon) for a particular amino acid; and 'wobble' base-pairing, i.e. permitting non-standard base-pairing at the 3rd anti-codon position. The record is from RNAcentral. RNAcentral also lists the same sequence under 1 other name.